GUGAGGCUGAGGACGCGGGCUUUGUUUAUGUGGGUGCAGUGUGGCAACAGGACGGGCUGAGUAAUAUCGAACAGGUGUUUGAUGGAUUGAUGUGGACACUAGUGGCCUCCACCGAAAUCUUUAGAGCUGGGUCAUGUUUGUGUCCUUUUUCUGCUUCCUUAUCACCGUUCUCUGGUUCUUCAUAUUUAUUUCUUCCAUAAAUACCACAGAAUAGGGUAGAGUCUUAUUGGGCACAUGCUUUGUGAUGACAAAGAUAUGAGAAGGGUUUUGUCUUCCCUUUUUGCUAUCGUAUCUAUGCUCGCUUGUAAGGUUAGCUGCAGUCUAUUAUUUGUUAUUUAACAUUUUUGUUCACUGCUGUUCGCCAACAGACAAACUUGAGAAGCCCUGUAAUGAAGCAAGAAGGCUCCAUAAACAGAGUGCAAACUGAAUUUAGUGCUCUUUGUGCACACAAAUCUAAAGCAACUGUCAAAAACACAGUACAUGGCAUUUCUCGGUGAGAGGCUGUGUGUCGGACAGAUCGACUCUUACAGAAACUUACCUUUGUCUGAGUGGCUGGUGGAUCUGGUGUCUGAUGAAGACACACAUACACACACCUGGUUGCUCAUGGGAACACUCGUAGUGUUGCACAGCUCCAAACAAUGCCUGUUUGUUUCUCUUCUGAUCUGGUUACCUACGGUAACAAUUACAUGAAAUUUUUAUAAACGAUAUGUUUUUCUUUUGCUUCCACUGGUAGCCACGGUUCACCAUCACUGCUAUGUAAACAAUAGGACAGUCAAUCGAUUAAAACACUGAAUCGAAUUAAUUACAAUAUGCUGUGCAAGGUAUUUAAGAUAUCUCUUAUACAUUACUUCUGCAGACGUAGUAUAUAUAAAAUAACAUUUUAAAUAAGAUCUCAUCGUGAGCAGUAAGGUCAUAAUUGCACGGUAAGAACUAGUACCUCUUCUGUAAAGUUGCAUUAAGAGAUUUCCUUCACGCCUAAAAUAAAACAAAGCAAUGCACAAAUAAAAAUGUGGGUGCAACAUCAA
Long non-coding RNA from Puntigrus tetrazona (Sumatra barb), 1025 nucleotides. RefSeq lists it as uncharacterized. NCBI's taxonomy places the organism in Eukaryota, Metazoa, Chordata, Actinopteri, Cypriniformes, Cyprinidae. The transcript is spliced from 3 exons. The record is from RefSeq and is a predicted model, not a curated record.